RNAcentral lists this transfer RNA (76 nucleotides) under Hydrogenophaga sp. Its description in RNAcentral is "tRNA-Phe". It matches the Rfam family "tRNA". From Rfam's summary of the family: Transfer RNA (tRNA) molecules are approximately 80 nucleotides in length. Their secondary structure includes four short double-helical elements and three loops (D, anti-codon, and T loops). Lineage: Bacteria; Pseudomonadati; Pseudomonadota; Betaproteobacteria; Burkholderiales; Comamonadaceae. The record is from RNAcentral.
GCCUUUGUAGCUCAGUUGGUAGAGCGCUGCGUUGAAAGCGCAGGCGUCAGUGGUUCGAACCCACUCGGAGGCACCA